This 70-nucleotide transfer RNA is filed under the name Araneus ventricosus. RNAcentral describes it as "tRNA-Sec". Lineage: Eukaryota; Metazoa; Arthropoda; Arachnida; Araneae; Araneidae. The record is from RNAcentral.
AUCUCAUGCCGGGAGUCGAACCCGGGCCGCCUGGGUGAGCCAGAAAUCCUGACCGCUGGACCACAUCGGA